RNAcentral lists this ribosomal RNA (468 nucleotides) under uncultured bacterium. Its description in RNAcentral is "partial 16S ribosomal RNA". It matches the Rfam family "Bacterial small subunit ribosomal RNA", at positions 28 to 507 of the family's 1533-position model. The record is from RNAcentral.
GACGAACGCUGGCGGCGUGCUUACCACAUGCAAGUCGAACGGAAAGGCCCUGCUUUUGUGGGGCGCUCGAGUGGCGAACGGGUGAGUAACACGUGAGUAACCUGCCCUUGACUUUGGGAUAACUUCAGGAAACUGGGGCUAAUACCGGAUAGGAGCUCCUGCUGCAUGGUGGGGGUUGGAAAGUUUCGGCGGUUGGGGAUGGACUCGCGGCUUAUCAGCUUGUUGGUGGGGUAGUGGCUUACCAAGGCUUUGACGGGUAGCCGGCCUGAGAGGGUGACCGGCCACAUUGGGACUGAGAUACGGCCCAGACUCCUACGGGAGGCAGCAGUGGGGAAUAUUGCACAAUGGGCGGAAGCCUGAUGCAGCAACGCCGCGUGCGGGAUGACGGCCUUCGGGUUGUAAACCGCUUUCGCCUGUGACGAAGCGUGAGUGACGGUAAUGGGUAAAGAAGCACCGGCUAACUACGUG